RNAcentral lists this ribosomal RNA (497 nucleotides) under uncultured bacterium. Its description in RNAcentral is "partial 16S ribosomal RNA". It matches the Rfam family "Bacterial small subunit ribosomal RNA", at positions 28 to 507 of the family's 1533-position model. The record is from RNAcentral.
GAUGAACGCUGGCGGCGUGCCUAAUACAUGCAAGUCGAGCGAACAGACGAGGAGCUUGCUCCUCUGACGUUAGCGGCGGACGGGUGAGUAACACGUGGAUAACCUACCUAUAAGACUGGGAUAACUUCGGGAAACCGGAGCUAAUACCGGAUAAUAUAUUGAACCGCAUGGUUCAAUAGUGAAAGACGGUUUUGCUGUCACUUAUAGAUGGAUCCGCGCCGCAUUAGCUAGUUGGUAAGGUAACGGCUUACCAAGGCAACGAUGCGUAGCCGACCUGAGAGAGUGAUCGGCCACACUGGAGCUGAGACGCGGUCCAGACUCCUACGGGAGGCAGCAGUAGGGAAUCUUCCGCAAUGGGCGAAAGCCUGACGGAGCAACGCCGCGUGAGUGAUGAAGGUCUUCGGAUCGUAAAACUCUGUUAUUAGGGAAGAACAAAUGUGUAAGUAACUAUGCACGUCUUGACGGUACCUAAUCAGAAAGCCACGGCUAACUACGUG